RNAcentral lists this ribosomal RNA (498 nucleotides) under uncultured bacterium. RNAcentral's name for it is "partial 16S ribosomal RNA". It matches the Rfam family "Bacterial small subunit ribosomal RNA", at positions 28 to 507 of the family's 1533-position model. The record is from RNAcentral.
GAUGAACGCUGGCGGCGUGCCUAAUACAUGCAAGUCGAGCGAACAUACGGGGAGCUGGCUCCUCUAAUGAUAGCGGCGGACGGGUGAGUAACACGGGGAUAACCUAUCUAUGACACUGGUAUAACUUCGGGAAACGAGAUCUUAUACCGUAUAAUUGAUGAAAACACAGGGUUCAAUAGAAAAAUGCGGUUUUGCUGUCACUUAUAGAUGGAUCCGCGGCGCAUUAGCUAGUUGGUGAGGUAACGGCUUACCAAGGCGACGAUGCGUAGCCGACCUGAGAGGGGGAUCGGCCCCACUCGGAAUGAGAAACGGGUCCAACUCCUCCGGGGGGGGGCAGUAGGGGGACUUCCGCGAUGGGCGAAAGUCUGACGGGGCAAAGCCGCGUGAGCGAAGAAAGGGUUCGGGUCGUAAAAAUCUGUUUUUUGGGAAGAACAAAAAUCGUUCAAAUAGGGCGGUACCUUGACGGUACCUAACCAGAAAGCCACGGCUAACUACGUG